AAAUUGAAGAGUUUGAUCAUGGCUCAGAUUGAACGCUGGCGGCAGGCCUAACACAUGCAAGUCGAACGGUAACAGGAAGCAGCUUGCUGCUUCGCUGACGAGUGGCGGACGGGUGAGUAAUGUCUGGGAAACUGCCUGAUGGAGGGGGAUAACUACUGGAAACGGUGGCUAAUACCGCAUAAUGUCGCAAGACCAAAGAGGGGGACCUUCGGGCCUCUUGCCAUCAGAUGUGCCCAGAUGGGAUUAGCUUGUUGGUGAGGUAACGGCUCACCAAGGCGACGAUCCCUAGCUGGUCUGAGAGGAUGGCCAGCCACACUGGAACUGAGACACGGUCCAGACUCCUACGGGAGGCAGCAGUGGGGAAUAUUGCACAAUGGGCGCAAGCCUGAUGCAGCCAUGCCGCGUGUAUGAAGAAGGCCUUCGGGUUGUAAAGUACUUUCAGCGGGGAGGAAGGUGUUG
RNAcentral lists this ribosomal RNA (459 nucleotides) under Salmonella enterica. RNAcentral describes it as "bacterial SSU rRNA". It matches the Rfam family "Bacterial small subunit ribosomal RNA", at positions 1 to 456 of the family's 1533-position model. Lineage: Bacteria; Pseudomonadati; Pseudomonadota; Gammaproteobacteria; Enterobacterales; Enterobacteriaceae. The record is from RNAcentral.